RNAcentral lists this long non-coding RNA (730 nucleotides) under Medicago truncatula (barrel medic). RNAcentral describes it as "long non-coding RNA (MTRU_LNC004198)". Lineage: Eukaryota; Viridiplantae; Streptophyta; Magnoliopsida; Fabales; Fabaceae. The record is from RNAcentral.
UCGAACAUCUCUUUGAUGGGUAUGUUUACUUUAAACCUUUCUAAAGGGAAAAUGAUUGGUAGACACACUUGUUUUGUACACCCUUUGGUACCACUACACAUGUGGCAUUUUAAUUAAAAAAAAAAUUCACUCUCUCUCCUCAAAUCCUCAUCCCACUCCUCUCUUUCUCACUCUGUGUACAAAACAAAAGAAACUCAACCCUUUCUCUCUCCAACUCUCUAUGCUCUCCAUCCAUUCCUCCCCCUUCGCCUCGUCUCCGCCGCCGGACUCUCUCUCUACCCCUUUCUUCUCCGGCCAUCCAUGGUGAUCAGAUCGGUGGUUGGUGGUUGUUUGAUCAAUGACAGUGGUGGUGGUGAGAUCUGUAUGUGAGGAAGUCGACGGUGGUAAUGAGAUCUAAGGAUAUGAACGACGGCGAUGGUGGACGUACGGGGGUCAAAGGCAGACUUAAGUUGUUAGAUCUGACGAUGACGUGGUGCCGGUGAAGUUUGAGGGUGAUGACGGCGACGGUGGUGGGGAGAUUUGAGGUUGAAAACGGCUGGGGACGGUGGCCGGUGGUGGUUCCGGUGAGGGAGAAGAAAGAAGGGUCUGAAGAAGAAAGAAUGUGUUGACAAAAUUGUUUGGCCUUUGGACAAAAUUAUCCCUUCUUUUUUGUUAAAUGACAAAAUUGCCCCUGCCAUAUGGGGUGUAUAAGGAUGGUAUGCCACAUGGAGUGGUCUAUCUAUCACCACUC